This 253-nucleotide ribosomal RNA is filed under the name uncultured bacterium. RNAcentral describes it as "partial 16S ribosomal RNA". It matches the Rfam family "Bacterial small subunit ribosomal RNA", at positions 524 to 776 of the family's 1533-position model. The record is from RNAcentral.
UACAGAGGUCCCGAGCGUUGUUCGGAUUCACUGGGCGUAAAGGGCACGUAGGCGGCUCGGCAAAUCGGUCGUGGAAUCCCGACGCUUACCGUCGGAACGGCGGCCGAAAAUACCGGGCUAGAGGGCGUGAGGGGUCACUGGAACUCCUGGUGAAGCGGUGAAAUGCGUAGAUAUCAGGAGGAACGCCGGAGGCGAAAGCGAGUGACUGGCGCGUUCCUGACGCUGAGGUGCGAAAGCUAGGGGAGCAAACAGG